RNAcentral lists this long non-coding RNA (1701 nucleotides) under Pan troglodytes (chimpanzee). RNAcentral describes it as "long non-coding RNA NONPTRT013405". Lineage: Eukaryota; Metazoa; Chordata; Mammalia; Primates; Hominidae. The record is from RNAcentral.
UUGUUUUUUUGAAUAUUUGAAAACUGGCUGUGUCUGAAAUCUUCAAGCCUUCUAAUAAGUUGGGGUUCUCUCCAGGUCAUAUCUUUUGGCUUUUACACAGCCAAAGCAAACGACAGGUCGAAAGUUCAAAAUUAAAUUUUAAACGUUUUCAUUCAGGCUCUGGAAAGCUGUGUGGUGGCGCAUGCCUGUAAUCCCAGCUACUUGGGAGGCUGAGGCAGGAGAAUCGCUUGAACCCAGAGGUGGAGGUGCAGUCCAGCCUGGGCAACAAGCGCUAAACUCCAUCUUAAAAAGAAGUCAUAGCGUUUUUUGGAGCAGACCAAUUCAUGAAUCAGCACCAAACCACAAGCAGUAUGAGCUCCACCUAGAAGGUGUGUGGGAAAGCGAUUUUGUAAGACGUGUUUGCACAAGCAAGACAAAGGAAGCAUUUGAUUGGUCAGAGUGGAAAGUUCCGGAGGUUAGUGGGUGGUUUCUGCUUGGCACAAUCUCUCAUUAGAAGUCACUUGGCAGUUUCUGAUUGCUUUAAGUUUCCUUCCACUGUUGGGUUUCCAUGUGCUUAUGUAAGACACAAGACACCAUCUCAGCCUAAUGGCCUUCUAAUUAAUUUGUUUUCAUAAGGGCAUACUGAAUCCUUGGCCCUUGCCUCAUAGAUUGGAAUAAUCUGAGAAAAGAAAAACUUCUAUUCUGAACACUUUCUCACCUCUAUCCUGCAGUUUGCCUAGUGGGAAAUAACUUGAGGCCGUAACUGUCAGGGAAGUUUUCUCUCAACUUUCUCAUACCGGUGUCCCUUGUUCUGGUUGACAAAUGGGCCGAGGCAGGAAGGAUGUCUGAUCACAAGUCAAGAUUGCCUCCUGUUUUUAAGGGAGCCUAUGACAGUCCAAGAAGCCCACACUUACCUCUGUCAAAACCAAAUUCUGCUUGUUCCACAGGAAAUGUUGGUAUGCAAGCACUUGCAGUGUGCCUACAUCCCAAAUGCUAGCCCAUGGUACCCAUUGUCUGCCUGGAUCUGAAUCAUGAUUCCAAGACGCAGAACACUACAGCUUCCAGGAGAAUACCCACCUCACUGAUGACACAACAUCUGAAUGCACACUUACUGGCCAACACGUGCUUUGCUGUAAAUCAGUAUGAAGUCUUCCUAGGGGUCCUGGCCUGAAUGAGAUGAGAACCUUGGAGGCUGCUUUUGACUCAUGUGAAUGUCUUCCCCAGGAGUUAAGUGGGAGUGCUGGGGAGAGAGUGGCUUGAGGAUGCACAGCCAGCAUGACACUACUAUUAUGUGAUUACUGUCGACGUUCAUAACCAUAACUAAUGACUAAUUAUGACUUUACCCUGGCGCAAAUGGUCAGAAUGGAAACAAAUAACAAGCUUUACAGUUUUUCCUGCUCUAUUAAGGUAUAAUUUACAAAUAAUGAAAUUCACCCAUUUUAAGUCUGUAAUUUGGGCUGGUCACGGUGGCUCAGUCCUGUAAUCCCAACACUUUGGGAGGUAGAGGCGGGUGGAUCACCUGAGGUCAGGAGUUCGAGAACAGCCUGACCAACAUGGAGAAACCCCGUCUCUACUAAAAAUACAAAAUUAGCUGGGUGUGGUAACACAUGCCUGUAAUCCCAGCUACUCGGGAGGCUGAGGCAGGAGAAUCGCUUCAACCCGGGAGGUGGAGGUUGCGGUGAGCCGAGAUCACGCCACUGCACUCCAGCCUGGACCACAAGA